This 253-nucleotide ribosomal RNA is filed under the name uncultured bacterium. Its description in RNAcentral is "partial 16S ribosomal RNA". It matches the Rfam family "Bacterial small subunit ribosomal RNA", at positions 524 to 776 of the family's 1533-position model. The record is from RNAcentral.
UACGUAGGGGGCAAGCGUUGUCCGGAUUUAUUGGGCGUAAAGAGCGUGUAGGCGGCCAGGUAGGUCCGCUGUGAAAACUCGAGGCUCAACCUCGAGAUGUCGGCGGAAACCAUCCGGCUAGAGUCCGGAAGAGGAGAGUGGAAUUCCUGGUGUAGCGGUGAAAUGCGCAGAUAUCAGGAAGAACACCCGUGGCGAAGGCGGCUCUCUGGGACGGUACUGACGCUGAGACGCGAAAGCGUGGGGAGCGAACAGG